Molecule: ribosomal RNA, 440 nt
Filed under: uncultured bacterium
Lineage: Bacteria
Description: partial 16S ribosomal RNA
Rfam family: Bacterial small subunit ribosomal RNA
Source: RNAcentral
CCUACGGGGGGCAGCAGUGGGGAAUAUUGCACAAUGGGGGAAACCCUGAUGCAGCGACGCCGCGUGAGUGAAGAAGUAAUUCGUUAUGUAAAGCUCUAUCAGCAGGGAAGAAAAUGACGGUACCUGUGUAAGAAGCCCCGGCUAACUACGUGCCAGCAGCCGCGGUAAUACGUAGGGGGCACGCGUUAUCCGGAUUUACUGGGUGUAAAGGGAGCGUAGACGGCAGUGCAAGUCUGGAGUGAAAGGCGGGGGCUCAACCCCCGGACUGCUCUGGAAACUGUCCGGCUGGAGUGCAGUAGAGGUAAGUGGAAUUCCUAGUGUAGCGGUGAAAUGCGUAGAUAUUAGGAGGAACACCAGUGGCGAAGGCGGCUUACUGGACUGUAACUGACGUUGAGGCUCGAAAGCGUGGGGAGCAAACAGGAUUAGAUACCCGGGUAGUC